This 526-nucleotide ribosomal RNA is filed under the name Boophis goudotii. RNAcentral describes it as "partial 12S ribosomal RNA". The stretch from base 1 to 453 matches the Rfam family "Bacterial small subunit ribosomal RNA", at positions 892 to 1533 of the family's 1533-position model. The record is from RNAcentral. Lineage: Eukaryota; Metazoa; Chordata; Amphibia; Anura; Mantellidae.
GCUUAAAAUCCAAAGGACUUGACGGUGUCCCACCCCUCUAGAGGAGCCUGUUCUAUAAUCGAUGAUCCCCGCUACACCUCACCGCUUCUUGCUUCCAUACAGCCUGUAUACCUCCGUCGUAAGCUUGCCAAGUAACUGAACCGCAGUAAGCUAAAUGACCCAUUCGUCAGCACGUCAGGUCAAGGUGCAGCCCAUGAAGCGGCAAGCAAUGGGCUACAAUUUCUAAUUUAGAACAAACGAACAACCAUAUGAAACUACGGUCACGAAGGUGGAUUUAGCAGUAAAGGGGGAUAAUAGCGCCCCCUUUAAUUAGUGGCCCUGGGACGCGUACAAACCGCCCGUCACCCUCUUCAACAGCACAUUAAUUAGUUAAUAACAACAUACCCGCGUCUUAGAGGAGGCAAGUCGUAACACGGUAAGCGUACUGGAAAGUGUGCUUGGACAAACAAAAUAUAGCUUAGAAAAGCCCCCCGCUUACACCGGGGAGACAUCUGUUAAACCCAGAUUAUUUUGAGCCCCAACUCUA